GCCGCUCGCUUCGGGGCCUCGAGUAAGCCCGGGUUCUGGCCGCCGCGGCCGGGCCAUGGAUGACUCCCCCCGCUGGGCAAGGGGGGCAGGGCAAGGAGGGGCCGAUGCACCCGCCUCAAUGGCGACCCGCGCCCGCCUCGGGUCAGCUGUGGAGGCCCCCGCCUCGGGGCCACUCGUCCCGGCCGACGUAGAAGCGCCGUCCGUCCUCGCCCUCUUUCGAGGCUGGGGUAUGGCUCCCCCGGCCUCGGCCUCUCGCCU
RNAcentral lists this long non-coding RNA (258 nucleotides) under Phoenix dactylifera (date palm). RNAcentral describes it as "long non-coding RNA (PDAC_LNC020294)". Lineage: Eukaryota; Viridiplantae; Streptophyta; Magnoliopsida; Arecales; Arecaceae. The record is from RNAcentral.